GGCAAGGAGCAGGACCUCCUGUUAGAAAGUCCCAGAAAGAAACAAACCCUCGGGGACCACCCAGAAGGCCAGGAUCAUCCGAGGGGCCGCCCCGUGGGGUCUCCAUGGCUGCACGUGCAUCCUGAGGCCCAAGUCCUCCUCACAGUGGCUUCACUGGGUGCUGGGACUCUGCAGGGACCGAGCUGUUGGUGCUCCAGCAUUCAGGGAGCUCCUGCCUUGGGGUGGACAGACAGCAGGUAAAGAAGCCUCAUGCAGGGCAGCAGGGGAUACCCUGGGAAGGAAAGUGAGGCAGGAAACAGACACUGGGCCAGUGGCUCCUGGUGAAGGGAUGGGCACUCGGGGAUCUCGGGGAGGGUCCAGGUGAGGACAGCAAGGGCAGAGGAGCCUGUGGGAGGGGUAAGCACGAGGGAGGCCGAGGCCCUGAGAUGUGAGGCCCGCAUCCUGCUGCAGGCGCUCUGCCUCCAGCAAGAGGUGGCUCUGGGGGACAGCUCUCCAUGGGGGACAGCUCUCCAUGGGCUUGGACACCCGUGCUCCCAGACAACAGCUUCUGCCGUGCUCCCAGAUGAGAGCCAGAGCCCUGCCUAUCGGGAGGCCACACUCAUGCCCAAGACUUCUAGGCCUCAGCAGUGCUCCCAAGGGUGUGGCACCAGGUGAAGCAGGGCAGGUGUGUGGACCAGGUGUGCUGGGGGGGCAGAGGGAGGGCAGCACCCCGUGGGCCAGCUACCUCUUGUGUGGGCACACAGCACCUGUGCACUCAAGGUCACCCAUGUGCACGCCGCCUCUCCACUCCUGGCAGCAGCCACCCUCGCACCAUGUGGCUCUGUGUCCUGGCUCCACAGGGCUCCCUGCUGCUGCCAGGAGCAAUUCCUGGAGUCCAGCAUGUGGAGGUAGCAGGGCCUCUGCUGGCUUUGGGACUGGACCAGCAGCACUGCAGGUGCCCUGGCUCUCCCACCUGGGCACACCUGAGGCCUCUCGCCCUUAUCUCCCAGGGCCCUAGCGGUUCCCCUCCACCAUCCCAUCCCAAAGCCUCACCUUUCCAGUGUAGCCCCAGGCCCCAGAGCAGGUGUAUCCACUUUAUUGUACACACAGCAUUUGACUCAGAGCCCAAGACAUGUAUCUGAUAGGAAUAGGGCUGCUCUGGAUGAGGGAGGGGGUGCCCAGCCCCCCAGCCUGGCUCCCCAGCACGCCCACUGCCCUGGCUCUGCGGAGCACCUUCCAGACCAUAUCAGAAGCCCUCAGGGAGGCCCCUGGACCCUGACAUCCCCGAGACCCCCUGAGGGACCCACUUUGCUAGCUGCAUGUCUGUGUCACACGGAACUGUCUCCAUGCUCUGCAAGCAGGUGGAAUGCAGGAGCAGGCAGGAAAACCCAGCUCUUCCAAGUCAGACACUGGAGAGCUCUGCAGACACGAAGACAAUGCCAUGCCUCCCCCUAAAUGCUUUUUGUUUUGGAAAAUAUAGCUGUUCGUCAUAAGGUAUUUACGUUGACGUAUGACAGGUUUAUGAUUGUUUUAAUGAAUUAAUAGGUAUUUUAAAUGCUCUUAGUUUCGAUUUCUAGUGUUUCUCAUUGGUGAUUUCUAACGUGGCAUCGUGGCUGCAUUCAACCCCCAUAAACGCAUGCUCCGUGGUGGCCUCCAUAGCUCUUCAGACCCAAUGUGUGAGUCCCGGGCUCCAGAUCGUGUCUCAGCCCCUCCCUGCUCCCUCAGCCAAUAGCCUGUGUCCGUGUGGCCCCUCCCCCGAGCUUCCCAGUGACGGAGGAAGGCAGACGCCGCGUGCUUUCCAGGCGCUGUCCUAAGCCCUUUGCAGAUAUGGAGCCACUUGACCCUCCUAUAACGCGUGCAGUGGGUCCUAUUACCCCCCCAUUUACGGACCAAGGGCAGGGAGGUGGAGACACUGGCUGGAGGCCGCGCAGCAGGGAAGUGGCAGUCAGGAGGCAGCCCAGGCCCUCCCAUCCGACUUCAGAGGCCAGACGCACGCCUUCUAGACGCUGACUCACAAGCCAAGUCACUCCUUCCUGACACUCACGCCACCAUGUCCUCCCCAAAGUGCAUUUGCAUUUUAACAGCCAUCUUCCGUGAGCUGACUCUGUGGUUUUCAGUCAGUGGUUUCCAGUCGGCUAUUUGUCAUAAGUUCUGGAGGUUGGGAAGUCCAAAGUCGAGUGGCCGUAUCCGGUGAGAGCCCUCCUGCAGCAUCAUCCCAUGACGGAAGGUGUCCCAUGAUAACCAGAAGCAGCAGAGAAAACAUCUGAAGUGCUUCCUGGACACACCUGUUAGGAAGUUUCUGCAAGAACCCAGCCCCAGCCCCAGGAAGAGAACGGCAGCAGGAAAAGUUAGAGAGGAGAGGGAGCAGGAGGUGGAGAGCUCGGCCCCUCCUUCGCUGCUGCCCUCUGGGUGACGCUCAGCGGAGGCGCCACGUAGCAGCUGCGAGAGCCCCGAGACAACCUCUGCACUGUUUAUGGGAUCGCAUUAGGGGAGCAGCGGCCCUGCAUGACCCCACAGGUGAGCAGGACACCUCAUCAUAGGGUAGGCACGUGAGCAGACUCACCCU
Molecule: long non-coding RNA, 2545 nt
Filed under: Homo sapiens (human)
Lineage: Eukaryota; Metazoa; Chordata; Mammalia; Primates; Hominidae
Description: HSALNT0344315
Source: RNAcentral